This 336-nucleotide ribosomal RNA is filed under the name Triticum aestivum (bread wheat). RNAcentral describes it as "partial small subunit ribosomal RNA". The record is from RNAcentral. Lineage: Eukaryota; Viridiplantae; Streptophyta; Magnoliopsida; Poales; Poaceae.
AAUGCCAGUCUCCGAGAAUAAUAUCCGGGCUUAUACAACAUUGUUCGCGAUAAGAAUAAUACUAUUGCGCAAGUGCUCAGUUCAUUCCCACCGAAUAUUUCGUUCAGGCGGGAUUUGAUUGGCCCCCGACUUGUGUCAUGGCAUAAUCUUUUAUCCUGACUGGAUUCGAUUAACCUGACACAAGGCCGGGAUGUGUUUCGCUGGAACCUUACUACAUCAGGGUCUUUCACUGUAGACUCUAUGUAUCGUGCGCUCACACAUUCUGAGGUACCAGUGAGUAAUAACAAGAAAAUUUGGAAGUCCAAGAUUCCACUAAAAGUGAAAAUUUUCAUGUAG